GGGUGUAUGGCUCAAGUGGUACAGUGACUGCUUCGUAAGCAUGAGACCCUGAGUUCAAACCACAGUACAACCU
RNAcentral lists this transfer RNA (73 nucleotides) under Dipodomys ordii (Ord's kangaroo rat). It matches the Rfam family "tRNA". From Rfam's summary of the family: Transfer RNA (tRNA) molecules are approximately 80 nucleotides in length. Their secondary structure includes four short double-helical elements and three loops (D, anti-codon, and T loops). The record is from Rfam by way of RNAcentral. Lineage: Eukaryota; Metazoa; Chordata; Mammalia; Rodentia; Heteromyidae.